RNAcentral lists this long non-coding RNA (298 nucleotides) under Melopsittacus undulatus (budgerigar). RNAcentral describes it as "lncRNA (ENSMUNG00000016952.1)". Lineage: Eukaryota; Metazoa; Chordata; Aves; Psittaciformes; Psittaculidae. The record is from RNAcentral.
AAGACGAAGAGGAGGAGGAGGAAGAGGAGGAGGGGUCCCCGCGGCUUUAUCUCCCACCCGGCUCCGCCCGCCACCGGCUGCCUCCCGUGGCCGCUCCGUGCCGUACCGCUCCGCACAGCCGGGCGCAGCGCCGGGCAGGGCAGCGCCCAUGGGCUGCGGCAACUCCACGGCCGGCGGCGCGGGCGGGCGAGGUGCCACGGGGACCACUAAAGAUGUAGCAGAAGAAUCUGUAUCAGAUGAUGACAAAAGGAGGUAGGUGCUGUACUGAGGCUGGCUUUAUUUACAAUUGGCUGCAGUG